CAGUCGCCACGGGAAAACAGAGGGUGCAAGCGUUAAUCGGAAUUACUGGGCGUAAAGCGCGCGUAGGUGGUUUGUUAAGUUGGAUGUGAAAUCCCCGGGCUCAACCUGGGAACUGCAUCCAAAACUGGCAAGCUAGAGUAUGGUAGAGGGUGGUGGAAUUUCCUGUGUAGCGGUGAAAUGCGUAGAUAUAGGAAGGAACACCAGUGGCGAAGGCGACCACCUGGACUGAUACUGACACUGAGGUGCGAAAGCGUGGGGAGCAAACAGGAUUAGAUACCCCUGUAGUCCCUGUCUCUUAUAC
Molecule: ribosomal RNA, 301 nt
Filed under: uncultured bacterium
Lineage: Bacteria
Description: partial 16S ribosomal RNA
Rfam family: Bacterial small subunit ribosomal RNA
Source: RNAcentral